CCACAUAAGACUAAUAGAAAAACAAACAAAAGUAACAGUAUUUGCAGCAUCGUCGUCUAGGGAUACGAACCCCUAACUCAAAACCUUGUCUUUAGCUCUCCACCAUUUUCUCGUCGUAGCAGGUGGCCUGCUCUUUUCUUUGUCUUUUUGUAUUUUUUGGCGCUUUGUUUCCAUUUGUCUAUUGUUCCUCAUUUGCGGCAUGAACCGCCUUUUUCACCGUUUCUUCUUUUUCUGAUUCC
Molecule: long non-coding RNA, 239 nt
Filed under: Durio zibethinus
Lineage: Eukaryota; Viridiplantae; Streptophyta; Magnoliopsida; Malvales; Malvaceae
Description: long non-coding RNA (DZIB_LNC001598)
Source: RNAcentral